RNAcentral lists this microRNA precursor (171 nucleotides) under Prunus dulcis (almond). Its description in RNAcentral is "sRNA ncRNA". The record is from RNAcentral. Lineage: Eukaryota; Viridiplantae; Streptophyta; Magnoliopsida; Rosales; Rosaceae.
AUGAGAUUGAGAGGGAAGAUGAGAGGGGAGGAUGCGUGGGAGAAGUAACAAAAGUGAAAACAAAAGCUAUAAAAGCUGAAAUCUAAUUCAAAUUGUUUUCACUUUUAAGAUUUUGUUUUCAGUUUGUUACUCCUCCCUCCCAUCCUCCCCUCUUAUCCUCUCUUUCAAUCU